Molecule: ribosomal RNA, 477 nt
Filed under: uncultured bacterium
Lineage: Bacteria
Description: bacterial SSU rRNA
Rfam family: Bacterial small subunit ribosomal RNA
Source: RNAcentral
GAUCCUGGCUCAGAUUGAACGCUGGCGGCAUGCCUUACACAUGCAAGUCGAACGGCAGCACGGGAGCAAUCCUGGUGGCGAGUGGCGAACGGGUGAGUAAUAUAUCGGAACGUGCCCAGUCGUGGGGGGAUAACUACUCGAAAGAGUGGCUAAUACCGCAUACGAUCUCUGGAUGAAAGCGGGGGACCUUCGGGCCUCGCGCGAUUGGAGCGGCCGAUAUCAGAUUAGGUAGUUGGUAGGGUAAAAGCCUACCAAGCCUGCGAUCUGUAGCUGGUCUGAGAGGACGACCAGCCACACUGGAACUGAGACACGGUCCAGACUCCUACGGGAGGCAGCAGUGGGGAAUAUUGCACAAUGGGCGAAAGCCUGAUGCAGCAACGCCGCGUGAGGGAUGAAGGCCUUCGGGUUGUAAACCUCUUUUAGCAGGGAAGAAGCGAAAGUGACGGUACCUGCAGAAAAGCACCGGCUAACUACGUG